Molecule: ribosomal RNA, 900 nt
Filed under: uncultured bacterium
Lineage: Bacteria
Description: partial dissimilatory sulfite reductase alpha subunit
Source: RNAcentral
ACCCACUGGAAGCACGGCGGCAUCGUGGGCGUGUUUGGUUACGGCGGCGGCGUCAUCGGGCGCUACUCCGACGUUCCGGAAAAGUUCCCCGGCGUGGCCCACUUCCAUACCAUCCGCGUCAACCAGCCGGCCAGUAAGUUCUACAAGACCGACUUCCUGCGGGCCCUCUGCGAUCUCUGGGAGUACCGGGGUAGCGGCCUUGUGAACAUGCACGGCUCCACCGGCGACAUCAUUCUCCUGGGCACCACCACCGACCAGCUGGAACCCAUCUUCUACGACCUCACCCACGAGCUGGAUCAGGACCUGGGCGGAUCCGGUUCCAAUUUACGUACUCCUUCCUGCUGCAUCGGCCGGGCCCGCUGCGAGUGGGCCUGCUACGACACCCAGGACAUGUGCUACGAAAUCACCAUGCACUACCAGGACGAGCUACACCGCCCGGCCUUCCCCUACAAGUUCAAGAUCAAGUUUGACGGCUGCCCCAUUGGCUGCGUAGCCUCCAUUGCCCGCGCCGACAUCUCCGUCAUUGGCACCUGGCGCGAUGAGAUCCGCAUUGACCAGGAUGCGGUAAAGGCUUACAUCGACGGCGACAUCCUGCCCAGCGGCGGUGCCCACCGCGGCCGCGACUGGGGCAAGUUCGACAUCAAGAAGGAAGUGCUGGACCUCUGCCCGAGCAAGUGCAUGUGGAUGGAGGACGGCAAGCUGGUUAUCGAUAACAGCGAGUGCGUGCGCUGCAUGCACUGUAUCACCGUCAUGCCGCGGGCGCUUCGUCCCGGUACGGAUACCGGCGUGACCAUCCUGGUCGGCUCAAAGGCGCCCAUCCUGGAGGGUGCCCAGCUCUCGCAGGUCAUCGUGCCCUUCAUGAAGGUCGAGCCGCCUUACGACAACGUGAAGGAACUGAUC